RNAcentral lists this ribosomal RNA (465 nucleotides) under Vreelandella stevensii. Its description in RNAcentral is "partial 16S ribosomal RNA". It matches the Rfam family "Bacterial small subunit ribosomal RNA", at positions 338 to 795 of the family's 1533-position model. Lineage: Bacteria; Pseudomonadati; Pseudomonadota; Gammaproteobacteria; Oceanospirillales; Halomonadaceae. The record is from RNAcentral.
CCUACGGGCGGCUGCAGUGGGGAAUAUUGGACAAUGGGUGAAAGCCUGAUCCAGCCAUGCCGCGUGUGUGAAGAAGGCCUUCGGGUUGUAAAGCACUUUCAGUGGGGAAGAAAGCCUUGGGGCUAAUACCCUCGAGGAAGGACAUCACCCACAGAAGAAGCACCGGCUAACUCCGUGCCAGCAGCCGCGGUAAUACGGAGGGUGCGAGCGUUAAUCGGAAUUACUGGGCGUAAAGCGCGCGUAGGCGGUCUGAUAAGCCGGUUGUGAAAGCCCCGGGCUCAACCUGGGAACGGCAUCCGGAACUGUCAGGCUAGAGUGCAGGAGAGGAAGGUAGAAUUCCCGGUGUAGCGGUGAAAUGCGUAGAGAUCGGGAGGAAUACCAGUGGCGAAGGCGGCCUUCUGGACUGACACUGACGCUGAGGUGCGAAAGCGUGGGUAGCAAACAGGAUUAGAUACCCCGGUAGUC